Molecule: long non-coding RNA, 1143 nt
Organism: Papaver somniferum (opium poppy)
Lineage: Eukaryota; Viridiplantae; Streptophyta; Magnoliopsida; Ranunculales; Papaveraceae
Exons: 3
Source: RefSeq, a predicted model, not a curated record
CCUUAGCGGCGCAAGAUCGCUCUCUAAUCGAAAUCCUUCAAAUAAAUCAAAAUCUGUGAACCUAUCAACGGAUCAACCACACUAGAUUACGAAGAAUAUGCACCGGUAUCAAUGAAGGAAAACUCGAAGAACUGAUUUAACAAGAAGAUGUUGUUUUUCAUAAUCUAGUGACAUCCAAAAUUCAUAAGGAACAAGAAGAAGAAGCCUUAACUUCAUCAACUAAAGAACAAGAAGAGAUGAAACAAAACCUCUGUGUUAAAAUUGUGUUCCUUUUGUUCUUCACGAAAUCACAAAAUCGAUUUUUUCAUAUGGAUUCUGUUGAAGAAGAAAAUUGGAUUUGUAUUCGGCAGAGAAGUGGCUCAAAAUUGGAGAUGUUUUAGGCAAGUUCUUGAAUCUGAAAAUCAAUCUAAGAAAAUAUAUUGUUGUUCAUUGAUUCUGUGAUGGAAAAUGGUUUUAGAUUGGGUCUGGUGGAGUUCGAGACAGGGAAGAUAAUGGUGGUUAGAAUGGAUAUUUGUUUAGUGGAUUUAGUUUAGAUUCUACUUACUGCCGCAGAAAGAGAGGUGUUGUUGGCUUUUAUGGGGAUGAGCUUGCUGCAGUGAAUACAACCAUCAAAGCAUCAAGUGCCAUUUUUUUUCCGUUUAUUGUUUGUGGCCAUUAUAUAUGGCUUGAAAGUGGAUUAUUUGUGUGUGUUGAAUUGAUGCAGGGAAGGAGAUGAGACAAUGGUUAGAAGAACAAAACAGGUUCAUCACUGCCAACACAUAUCAUGCCAUGUACUGUUCGAUGAAAAUCUCCAAAGGGGAUUCUCUUAUAUUACCAGUCCAUAAGUAACAUUUAGCAGGUUUUGCCAUUGAUUUUGUGGGUUUGUUUUAAGGGUUUUUAAUGACUAACAUGCUGGCUAAAAGUUCUUCUUGCAACAAUCGUUUGGGAUAGAGAGCAGGAACUAAUCCAAGUUUACUUCAAAGGGGAAUGAAGCUAUUGUCAAUGGUUCUCAGUCUAGUGCUAAGUGGUCUACCACUCCUGUAAUAGUAGAUUGUAAUUUUUUUUUCCAAAGUCUUUAUCGUUAUGUGCUUAUAAGCUUGUUAGCAAGUUUUGUAGCCUUAUCGUUUUUUUUUUAUUAUUUAAUACUUGCCAAAGGAGCAUGGU